Molecule: ribosomal RNA, 443 nt
Filed under: uncultured bacterium
Lineage: Bacteria
Description: partial 16S ribosomal RNA
Rfam family: Bacterial small subunit ribosomal RNA
Source: RNAcentral
CCUACGGGAGGCAGCAGUGGGGAAUAUUGGGCAAUGGAGGAAACUCUGACCCAGCAACGCCGCGUGAAUGAUGAAGGUCUUCGGAUUGUAAAGUUCUUUUCUAAGGGAAGAAGAAAGUGACGGUACCUUAGGAAUAAGCCUCGGCUAACUACGUGCCAGCAGCCGCGGUAAUACGUAGGAGGCGAGCGUUAUCCGGAAUGACUGGGAGUAAAGGGGGCGUAGGUGGUUUGGCAAGUUAGUAGCGUAACUCCAAGGCUCAACCUUUGAACUACUACUAAAACUGUUGGACUUGAGUGCAGGAGGGGCAACCGGAAUUCCUAGUGUAGCGGUGGAAUGCGUAGAUAUUAGGAGGAACACCAGUGGCGAAGGCGGGUUGCUAGACUGUAACUGACACUGAGGCACGAAAGCGUGGGGAGCAAACAGGAUUAGAUACCCCUGUAGUC